CUGGUUGUACUUGUCACGUUGUGUUUCAAUAAACUGUAAAUGGCUUAGUAUUAGUAAGUAUGCUAGUUUUAAGACUACGAUUUAGUUUGAAUUUCGAUUGUACUGUACUGAAAGAACUUUAAUUAUUUCUUGAAUUUGUUUAAGACUUUAUGCAAAAUUUGUAAAGCACUUACAACUUGUCGAAUAUCAAAAUGCCUAAAGAGAAAUCUAAGAAGAAAUCGAGACAACAUGAGCAGAUUCAGAAACAAGGUGUUCAAUUUAAUAGAGACCUUGGGCAACAUAUUCUGAAAAAUCCACUUAUUGUUAACAGUAUGGUGGAGAAAGCGGCUAUACGAUCCACUGAUGUCGUUUUAGAAGUAGGUCCAGGAACAGGCAACAUGACGAUAAAGCUCCUGGAUAAAUCUAAGCGAGUAGUAGCUUGUGAAGUCGACCCACGUUUAGUUGCAGAACUACAGAAGCGAGUUCAAGGAUCUCCAUCACAAAGCAAACUGCAAAUUAUUGUCGGAGAUGUUUUAAAAACCGAUUUACCUUUUUUUGAUGUCUGUGUUGCCAAUUUGCCGUAUCAGAUUUCUUCACCUUUUGUUUUCAAGUUACUUCUGCACAGACCGUUUUUUCGGUGUGCUAUUUUAAUGUUUCAGCGAGAAUUUGCCCAGCGCCUGGUAGCCAAGCCUGGUGACAAACUGUACUGUAGGCUAUCGGUAAAUACUCAACUCCUAGCUCGAGUAGACCACCUGAUGAAAAUUGGGAAAAACAAUUUUAGGCCUCCACCGAAAGUAGAAUCCAGUGUUGUGCGUCUUGAACCCAGAAAUCCACCACCUCCAAUUAAUUUUCAAGAAUGGGAUGGAUUACUACGAAUUUGUUUCAUUAGAAAAAAUAAAACUUUAGGUGCUGCUUUUAAACAGACCUCAGUACUGGAAAUGUUAGAAAAGAACUAUAAAAUUCAUUGUUCUGUCAAGAAUAUUUGCAUACCAAAAGAUUUCAGUGUUAAAUCAAGAGUGGAAGAGCUUCUUACAGCAAACAAUUUUGAUAAACAGCGCGCAAGGACAAUGGACACAGAUGAUUUUUUGGUGAUGUUACUUGUUAUCUGGAUGAUGGAAAGGAUGAGGAUUUGGUAUACUUCGAUUUUCAAAUAUUUUGUGAUAAAAUGCCACACUGGAGAUGAUCUAAAAAAAUCUUAUCUCUAAGUAUUGGGGAAUGAAUAAUUUGAUUGUAGGGUGGUUGGUUAAAAGAAAGGGAUAUAAAAAGUCGAGAAUUACACCAUACAUCCAUAGCUGGUUCAAUUUUCAGAUCAAGCAAUUGAAAAAAUAAUGUGUUGAAAAUGGCACAUUACCAACACAGCAAUAAAUUGGAUGCUGCAGCAAAUGCCCUAAGAGAGAGAAAAAGAAUUAAAAAGCUCGAGGUGUUAUUCCAAAAGAAAACAAAAAUAU
This 1427-nucleotide unclassified non-coding RNA is filed under the name Limulus polyphemus (Atlantic horseshoe crab). RNAcentral describes it as "probable dimethyladenosine transferase, transcript variant X1". Lineage: Eukaryota; Metazoa; Arthropoda; Merostomata; Xiphosura; Limulidae. The record is from RNAcentral.